Molecule: ribosomal RNA, 272 nt
Filed under: uncultured Staphylococcus sp.
Lineage: Bacteria; Bacillati; Bacillota; Bacilli; Caryophanales; Staphylococcaceae
Description: partial 16S ribosomal RNA
Rfam family: Bacterial small subunit ribosomal RNA
Source: RNAcentral
ACGUUAGCGGCGGACGGGUGAGUAACACGUGGGUAACCUACCUAUAAGACUGGGAUAACUUCGGGAAACCGGAGCUAAUACCGGAUAAUAUUUCGAACCGCAUGGUUCGAUAGUGAAAGAUGGUUUUGCUAUCACUAUAGAUGGACCCGCGCCGUAUUAGCUAGUUGGUAAGGUAACGGCUUACCAAGGCGACGAUACGUAGCCGACCUGAGAGGGUGAUCGGCCACACUGGAACUGAGACACGGUCCAGACUCCUACGGGAGGCAGCAGCC